CACGUAUGGGACGAGCGUUGUUCGGAAUUAUUGGGCGUAAAGGGCGUGUAGGCGGUUCUACAAGCUUGGUGUGAAAUAUCUCGGCUUAACCGGGAAUGUGCGCUGGGAACUGUAGGACUAGAGUCUUAGAAGGGAAGCUGGAAUUCCUGGUGUAGGGGUGAAAUCUGUAGAUAUCAGGAAGAACACCAAUGGCGAAGGCAAGCUUCUAGCUGAAGACUGACGCUGAGGCGCGAAAGCGUGGGGAGCAAACAGGAUUAGAUACCCCGGUA
RNAcentral lists this ribosomal RNA (269 nucleotides) under uncultured prokaryote. RNAcentral describes it as "partial 16S ribosomal RNA". It matches the Rfam family "Bacterial small subunit ribosomal RNA", at positions 524 to 792 of the family's 1533-position model. The record is from RNAcentral.